Molecule: long non-coding RNA, 1843 nt
Organism: Corvus hawaiiensis (hawaiian crow)
Lineage: Eukaryota; Metazoa; Chordata; Aves; Passeriformes; Corvidae
Exons: 2
Source: RefSeq, a predicted model, not a curated record
CAUAUUUAGCUGCAGUACUUCCUUGUUUGACAGGUCUUUUUAGGUAAGAAAGAUGUGUUUUCAACAACUGCCUGCUUUUUCAGAAUGGCAGCAAAACCUAAGUCUGAUGAUAGAUUUUGUUAUUAUUUGGUUUUUGUUGCAGAAAUGGCCUCUGGCAUCCAUCUUUACAAGUCCUGUGGUGAGGAAGAAGCAGAGGAUUGAGCAGAAGCCCAGUGAUGUCCAGCCAGCAGCUGGUGGCCACUCUCCUUCUGCCUUAGUCCUGCUUUGACAUCCUGUUCUCCUCUUUACCUGUCUCCAAGAAUGGGCUCCAUUUCUGCCUGCACUCAUGAGGUGCAAGAAGAAGAUAAAUUUCAGGAAUUGCGAUGCCUGCCAGGGUGCAGGGGAAGACUCCCAAGUCCGAUGGGGGCAAAACAGAAUUGAAAAUUGUGAAGCUUGCACUGACUGGACUCUGUGCAACGCUGUUUAUCAGUGACCCUACAGGGACAGGGUGAUUCACUUACUGGCUCUGAGAACUUACGAGAACCCAGAGUUACUUGCUCGCUUGUAGAGAGAUGGGCUCAAGCAAAAUUACAAGGGUUCCCUUGGAAAGAUCCUUCAGCAGGGUAGCCCCAGCUACUCUGAGAUGAACAGCAGGAGCAGUAUCUCCACGAAAAGCUGUCACAUAUUCAGCAGUGAGUAUCUGAAUUUGACAGGGGGCAAGUGGAGUCCUGGGACCAGUCGUCUGUUUCAGCAAGAGAACAUCAAUGAACUCCGGCUUUUUUAUUUCAAAUAGAGGAUUAGUUUUUUUAGGAUUAUUCAAGUUAGUAUUGAACAGUAGUUUACGUUAGCAUUGAGUAGAAGAUUAUUUGUUUAAAACAUUAAAAGGAUUAGUUGGUCAAAGCUUACAGAAUUUAGUAUUCAACUGUAAGAAUAAAGAAGUUGCAUUAUUGUUAACUCCUUCUUUUAUUGUCACUUAUGUCAUAUUUGGAGUGGCUUUCUUCUGGUCAAUUCUUUUCUUCAACACUUAGGUUUGUCCACUGAAAUAAUUUUAUCAGUAGAUGGUGGGAACCCAGUACCUCUACUAAGAAUAUGCACACGUUUUAAGAAAAUAUUGCAGCAAAUGGAAAUUCUUUAUGUUAAGUAUAGGGGUGUUUUCCAACCUUUCUUGUAAAUUCAAGCUCUUUGCCUUAAGUGGUCGAAGGCGUAGGAAUUUGGACAACCCCAAAUCACCUUGUUUUGGAGGGGUACAGAGGAACGCGGAUGGGCUGCUCUAAGCUGUCAGCUGAAGCAGCUCCCAGGACUGAUUGUUAAUCUUGGCUUCACCUUGUCAGUGAGCCAGGGAAUAUCCAGGUCUUCUGCAAGUGUUUUAAAAACACAUGGAGAUGUGUUGGAGGCAAGGUACUUCAAUGGGUUUUCAAGAGAAAUUGGGUUAAAGUGUCCCUAUGGAAACUCUGUCCCUUUUGUAGCUUUUUUCAACAUAGUCUGUCACAAACAGUCUUUCCAGAGAGACACAGCUGUUGAUUCCUGCACAGGCCUAUGGGGACGUUGGAGUCUGGUUCUUUUCCUAAGUUUCCUGUCAUUUAUUUAUUCAGCUGACAGGGUAGAGGUGUGGCCAGCAAUGCCAUAACCUUACUCUUUUGGGGUAAAUUGACUGAGGGAGGACAACAUUUGGGAACCUUCAAACAGGGCUGUGAAUGCCCCUUUCUUCCUAGGAGAGUAUUUUACAGCUUCCUCAAUUGUCUUCAUGCCAACGAUGUUAAGCCCCAGUACCUGAGGCCUCUUGGGGCGUUUUGUGAUUGAACACGUAAGCCGUUGUUGCCCUUCUGUUCUCCUUCAGCUGAAGUUCAAUAAAAUGUCACCUCUU